Molecule: ribosomal RNA, 340 nt
Filed under: uncultured Planctomycetota bacterium
Lineage: Bacteria; Pseudomonadati; Planctomycetota
Description: bacterial SSU rRNA
Rfam family: Bacterial small subunit ribosomal RNA
Source: RNAcentral
UCGAGCGAGAAUCUGAUGACGGAUCCUUCGGGUGACGGAUUCAGAGGACAGCGGCAGACGGGGUAGUCAUACAUAGGUUACGUACCCUCAGGUCUGGGAUAGCCACGGGAAACUGUGAUUAAUACUGGAUAAUCUCUAAGGAGCAAAGGUGUGAUUCCGCCUGAGGAGCGGCUUAUGCGUUACUAGGUUGUUGGUGAGGUAAUGGCUCACCAAGCCUUUGAUGACCAGGGGGUGUGAGAGCAUGACCCCCACCACUGGGACUGAGACACUGCCCAGACACCUACGGGUGGCUGCAGUCGAGAAUCUUCGGCAAUGGACGCAAGGUCUGACCGAGCGACGU